CAGCCGCCGCGGUAAUACCAGCUCCCCGAGUGGUUAGGAUGUUUAUUGGGCCUAAAGCAUCCGUAACCGGUCUUGUAGGUCUCCUGUUAAAUCCACCAGCUCAACUGUUGGGCCGCAGAAGAUACCGCAAGACUAGGAGGCGGGAGAGGUGGACGGUACUUUAUGGGUAGGGGUAAAAUCUUUUGAUCCAUAGAAGACCACCAGUGGCGAAGGCGGUCCACCAGAACGCGCUCGACGGUGAGGGAUGAAAGCUGGGGGAGCGAACCGGAUUAGAUACCCGGGUAGUCCCAGCUGUAAACGAUGCGAGCUAGGUGAUGGGGUGGCUGCGAGCCAUCCCAGUGCCCCAGGGAAGCCGUUAAGCUCGCCGCCUGGGAAGUACGACCGCAAGGUUGAAACUUAAAGGAAUUGGCGGGGGAGCACCACAAGGGGUGAAGCCUGCGGUUCAAUUGGAGUCAACGCCGGGAACCUUACCGGGGGAGACAGCAGAAUGAAAGUCAAGCUGAAGACUUUACUAGACAAGCUGAGAGGAGGUGCAUGGCCGUCGCCAGCUCGUGCCGUGAGGCGUCCUGUUAAGUCAGGUAACGAGCGAGACCCCUGCUGUUAAUUGCUACCUUCAUUCGAAAGAAUAAGGGGGCUAGUUAACGGGACUGCUGCCGCUAAGGCGGAGGAAGGAAGGGGCCACGGCAGGUCAGUAUGCCCCGAAACCCUCGGGCCACACGCGGGCUGCAAUGGUAGGUACAAAGGGCUCCGACCUCGAAAGAGGAAGGCAAUCCUCAAACCCUACCCCAGUUGUGAUUGAGGGCUGCAACCCGCCCUCAUGAAUAUGGAAUCCCUAGUAAUCGCGUGUCACCACCGCGCGGUGAAUACGUCCCUGCCCCUUGCACAC
This 886-nucleotide ribosomal RNA is filed under the name uncultured archaeon. Its description in RNAcentral is "bacterial SSU rRNA". It matches the Rfam family "Archaeal small subunit ribosomal RNA", at positions 459 to 1344 of the family's 1478-position model. The record is from RNAcentral.